ACUCCCAGGCUUGCUGGAGAGUGAGGCCCUCGCGCGGCGUCUCUCGCCUGGGCGCCCAGUGCAGGGAAGGGUUGUCGUGGGCUGCGGGUGGGCAGCCUAGGUCCCUUUCCUCACACAGGCGAACGCUCCGCACGUGGACGCCGUGCGAUCUGUUCAAGCGUGUAAGGGAGGGCGGCCACAAUCUUUUGUUUAACGUAGGUUAAAGGCUACCCGGGAAGGUGGGCGAGAAGCCUCGAAGGCACGCCGUCGUUGUUGGUGGCGGCGGGCGCAUCCUCCUCGGUUUCCCUGAGAAUCCCGACCGAGCCGCCUUUCCCAGGAGCCGAGACCCGGGCCUCGUCGGGUCCCCCUCCCGUCGCGGCCCAAACAAAAGCCUCCUGCCUCAGUCAUGAAGACCGCGAAGCUGACGUGUGUGCGCUAGUCUGGGUCGGGCUUUCCUCGAACAGCCAUCCCCGGGGCCCUCUUGGAUGACAAGGCUGCUGAGCAAUUGCGAGCACGCGAGACCGGAGAGAAAACUUAAGAUCGCACACGCCGGCCUGCUGUGCGUGCGCGUCUCCUGCUCCGCCCGCACCUCUCCUGGGGAGGGUUUUAUUCACAAAGGCCCGAGGGUCUUUGCAGGGCCUGUUAAAGGAGAACUGCGACGCAGUGUAGUUGCUUCUAGGUAUGGAGUGUGGUCCUAGCUCCUCACUCAUCGAAUAGAGACAGUCCCGCCAGCACUGCAGUUUCCUAACCACUUUAAACCUCUUUAAAAAAAAAAUCUCAAUUUGGCUUGAUUCAGGCAACCAGGAUAGGGAAGGGAUCCCCUACAGGGUCAGCCGACUUGGGUGGGAUUUUUGCUAGGGGAGAGGGGAGAAGAUGACGUGCUUGGCGCCAUGAUCGGAAGUCUGGGUUUAAUUCUUUAACUGCGAGGUGGAAAAUUUGCGUGGGAGGGCGAUCUUAAGAGGUGAAGUCUAGCCCUCCCUUCUUCUAGUAGGCAGAAAGGUUGUUCUGAAGGCUGGUUUUGCCGGUCUUUCAUUGUGGCUAAGGGCAGUUCCAGGAUACCUUCAUAAACACACUCCUCAAGCCUUACUGUUCGCUUGCUUAUUCAAGCCUCCUUUUAUCUCUGUAUCUGAACGUGAUGUUAAUAAAUCACAUUCCUUAAA
This is a long non-coding RNA of Mus musculus (house mouse), 1139 nucleotides long. RefSeq annotates it as RIKEN cDNA B430105G09 gene. The record is from RefSeq and is marked validated. The transcript has a single exon. NCBI's taxonomy places the organism in Eukaryota, Metazoa, Chordata, Mammalia, Rodentia, Muridae.